RNAcentral lists this ribosomal RNA (468 nucleotides) under uncultured bacterium. RNAcentral describes it as "partial 16S ribosomal RNA". It matches the Rfam family "Bacterial small subunit ribosomal RNA", at positions 28 to 507 of the family's 1533-position model. The record is from RNAcentral.
GACGAACGCUGGCGGCGUGCUUAACACAUGCAAGUCGAACGGAAAGGCCCUGCUUUUGUGGGGUGCUCGAGUGGCGAACGGGUGAGUAACACGUGAGUAACCUGCCCUUGACUUUGGGAUAACUUCAGGAAACUGGGGCUAAUACCGGAUAGGAGCUCCUGCUGCAUGGUGGGGGUUGGAAAGUUUCGGCGGUUGGGGAUGGACUCGCGGCUUAUCAGCUUGUUGGUGGGGUAGUGGCUUACCAAGGCUUUGACGGGUAGCCGGCCUGAGAGGUUGACCGGCGACAUUGGGACUGAGAUACGGCCCAGACUCCUACGGGAGGCAGCAGGGGGGAGUAUUGCACAAUGGGCGGAAGCCUGAUGCAGCAACGCCGCGUGCGUGAUGACGGCCUUCGGGUUGUAAACCGCUUUCGCCUGUGACGAAGCUUGAGUGACGGUAAUGGGUAAAGAAGCACCGGCUAACUACGUG